This 1057-nucleotide ribosomal RNA is filed under the name uncultured bacterium. RNAcentral describes it as "bacterial SSU rRNA". It matches the Rfam family "Bacterial small subunit ribosomal RNA", at positions 8 to 1064 of the family's 1533-position model. The record is from RNAcentral.
AGAGUUUGAUCCUGGCUCAGAACGAACGCUGGCGGCGCGCCUAACACAUGCAAGUCGAACGAGAGGCUCUUCGGAGUAGUAAAGUGGCGUACGGGUGAGUAAUACAUGGGUAAUCUGCCUUUGAGUGGGGGAUAACCAGCCGAAAGACUGGCUAAUACCCCAUACGCUUCCGGUCCCUCGGGUAAGGAAGGAAAGCUGCAUCGUGGAUGUGGCACUCGAAGAUGGGCUCAUGGCCUAUCAGCUUGUUGGUGGGGUAAAGGCCUACCAAGGCAACGACGGGUAGCUGGUCUGAGAGGACGAUCAGCCACACUGGCACUGAGAUACGGGCCAGACUCCUACGGGAGGCAGCAGUGAGGAAUAUUGCGCAAUGGGCGAAAGCCUGACGCAGCGACGCCGCGUGGGGGAAGAAGGUUUUCGGAUUGUAAACCCCUUUUAGGAGGAAAGAUGGGGUGGUUCGCCACCCGGACGGUACCUCCAGAAAAAGCCACGGCUAACUUCGUGCCAGCAGCCGCGGUAAUACGAAGGUGGCGAGCGUUGUUCGGAUUUACUGGGCGUAAAGAGCACGUAGGCGGUUUAGUAAGCCCCUUGGGAAAGCUACGGGCUUAACCCGUAAAGGUCGAGGGGGACUGCUAUGCUAGAGGGCGGGAGAGGAGCGCGGAAUUUCCGGUGUAGCGGUGAAAUGCGUAGAUAUCGGGAAGAAGGCCGGUGGCGAAGGCGGCGCUCUGGAACGUCACUGACGCUGAGGUGCGAGAGCGUGGGGAGCAAACAGGAUUAGAUACCCUGGUAGUCCACGCCGUAAACGAUGGGUACUAAGUGUCGGCAGGUUACUGUCGGUGCCGCAGUUAACGCAGUAAGUACCCCGCCUGGGGAGUACGGCCGCAAGGUUGAAACUCAAAGGAAUUGACGGGGGCCCGCACAAGCGGUGGAGCAUGUGGUUUAAUUCGACGCAACGCGAAGAACCUUACCCAGGUUGGACAUGCUCGUGGAAAAGCUUGAAAGAGUAAAGACCCCUUCGGGGGGGCGAGCUCAGGUGCUGCAUGGCUGUCGUCAGCUCGUG